GACGGAAGGUGCAAGCGUUGCUCGGAAUCACUUGGGCGUAAAGGGUGCGUAGGUCGGCCGUGCAAGUCUGGCGUGAAAGCCCCGGGCUCAGCCCGGGAAGUGCGCUCGAAACUGCGCGGCUCGAGUGCCGGAGGGGAGAGUGGAAUUCCUGGUGUAGCGGUGAAAUGCGUAGAUAUUGGGAGGAACACCAGUGGCGAAGGCGGCUCACUGGACCGGAACUGACGCUGAGGCGCGAAGGCGUGGGGAGCAAACAGGG
This 256-nucleotide ribosomal RNA is filed under the name uncultured bacterium. RNAcentral's name for it is "partial 16S ribosomal RNA". It matches the Rfam family "Bacterial small subunit ribosomal RNA", at positions 524 to 777 of the family's 1533-position model. The record is from RNAcentral.